This 273-nucleotide ribosomal RNA is filed under the name uncultured bacterium. Its description in RNAcentral is "partial 16S ribosomal RNA". It matches the Rfam family "Bacterial small subunit ribosomal RNA", at positions 524 to 796 of the family's 1533-position model. The record is from RNAcentral.
UACAGAGGGUGCAAGCGUUAAUCGGAAUUACUGGGCGUAAAGCGCGCGAGGUGGUUUGUUAAGUUUGGAUGUGAAAGCCCCGGGCUCAACCUGGGAACUGCAUCCAAAACUGGCAAGCUAGAGUACGGUAGAGGGUGGUGGAAUUUCCUGUGUAGCGGUGAAAUGCGUAGAUAUAGGAAGGAACACCAGUGGCGAAGGCGACCACCUGGACUGAUACUGACACUGAGGUGCGAAAGCGUGGGGAGCAAACAGGAUUAGAUACCCCCGUAGUCC